GAUGAACGCUGGCGGCGUGCCUAACACAUGCAAGUCGAGCGGAAAGACGCAGCUUGUGCCUGGUUUCCGCGGGGGGCGGGGGAGUGAAACACAGGAGUAUGCCUGGCAUUGGGGGAUGACGUCCGGAAGCGAGCGCUGAUACUACAUACGACCAGAUCGUGAACCGGGGGGGUCUUUGGACAUCAUGCGAUCUGAUGAGCCUACGCGGGGUUUGCUAGCUGGUGGGGUAAUGGCCUACCAAGCCGACGAUCCGCUGCUGACCUGCGUGGAUGAUCGGCCACACUGGAACUGGGACACGGUCCAGACUCCUACGGGAGGCAGCAGUGGGGAAUAUUAGGCAAUGGGCGAAAGCCUUACCCAGCCAUGCCGCGUGUGUGAAGAAGGUCUUCGGAUCGUAAAGCCCUUUUAGUGGGGAUGAACGGCUUUAAGAUGAUACCUAGCUGUCUUGACGGUACCGAGUGAAUAAGCACCGGCUAACUACGUG
This 484-nucleotide ribosomal RNA is filed under the name uncultured bacterium. Its description in RNAcentral is "partial 16S ribosomal RNA". It matches the Rfam family "Bacterial small subunit ribosomal RNA", at positions 28 to 507 of the family's 1533-position model. The record is from RNAcentral.